RNAcentral lists this ribosomal RNA (305 nucleotides) under uncultured bacterium. RNAcentral describes it as "bacterial SSU rRNA". It matches the Rfam family "Bacterial small subunit ribosomal RNA", at positions 334 to 637 of the family's 1533-position model. The record is from RNAcentral.
UGGACCUACGGGGCGCAGCAGUGAGGAAUAUUGGUCAAUGGGCGCAAGCCUGAACCAGCCAAGUCGCGUGAGGGAAGACGGCCCUACGGGUUGUAGACCUCUUUUGUCGGAGAACAAAACCCGGGACGUGUCCAGGACUGCGUGUAUCCGAAGAAAAAGCAUCGGCUAACUCCGUGCCAGCAGCCGCGGUAAUACGGAGGAUGCGAGCGUUAUCCGGAUUUAUUGGGUUUAAAGGGUGCGUAGGCGGUCCGUUAAGUCAGCGGUAAAAUUGCGGGGCUCAACCCCGUCGAGCCGUUGAAACUGGC